RNAcentral lists this ribosomal RNA (446 nucleotides) under uncultured bacterium. RNAcentral describes it as "partial 16S ribosomal RNA". It matches the Rfam family "Bacterial small subunit ribosomal RNA", at positions 338 to 795 of the family's 1533-position model. The record is from RNAcentral.
CCUACGGGUGGCUGCAGUCGAGAAUCAUUCACAAUGGGGGAAACCCUGAUGGUGCGACGCCGCGUGGGGGAAUGAAGGUCUCCGGAUUGUAAACCCCUGUCAUGUGGGAGCAAAUUAAAAAGAUAGUAUCACAAGAGGAAGAGACGGCUAACCCUGUGCCAGCAGUCGUGGUAAUACAUAGGUCGCAAGCGUUGUUCGGAAUCACUGGGCGUAAAGCGUGCGUAGGCUGUGUCGUAAGUCGGAUGUGAAAGGCGCGGGCUCAACCCGCGGACGGCACAUGAUACUGCGAGACUAGAGUGAAGGAGGGGGAAGCGGAAUUCUCGGUGUAGCAGUGAAAUGCGUAGAUAUCGAGAGGAACACUAGUGGCGAAGGCGGGUUCGUGGACAUUAACUGACGCUGAGGCACGAAGGCCAGGGGAGCGAAAGGGAUUAGAUACCCCAGUAGUC